GUGUAAACGCUGCGGGCUUGGUGUUGGGGGUCCUUUGAGGGCGCCCAGUGCCGGAGAGAAGUUGUUAAGCCUGCUGCUUGGGGAGUACGUCCGCAAGGAUGAAACUUAAAGGAAUUGGCGGGGGAGCACCGCAACGGGAGGAGCGUGCGGUUCAAUUGGAUUCAACGCCGAAAAACUCACCAGGAGCGACGGAUAUAUGAAGGUCAAGCUGAUGACUUUACCUGAUUUUCCGAGAGGUGGUGCAUGGCCGUCGUCAGUUCGUACCGUAAGGCGUUCUCUUAAGUGAGAUAACGAACGAGACCCUCACCAUUAAUUGCUAGUCCUUUCUCCGGAGGGGGCGCACAUUAAUGGGACCGCUGGCGCUAAGUCAGAGGAAGGAGAGGUCAACGGUAGGUCCGUAUGCCCCGAAUCCCCUGGGCAACACGCGCGCUACAAAGGGUGGGACAAUGGGCUUCGACACCGAAAGGUGAAGACAAUCCUCAAACCCAUCCAUAGUUCGGAUCGGGGGCUGUAACCCGCCCCCGUGAAGCUGGAUUCCGUAGUAAUCGCUUGUCAACAUCAAGCGGUGAAUAUGCCCCUGCUCCUUGCACACACCGCCCGUCAAACCACCCGAGUUGGGUUUCAGUAAGGAUGUCUCUAAUUGGGGCUUUCGAACUGAGAUUCAGCAAGGAGGGUUAAGUCGUAACAAGGUAUCUGUAGGGGAACCUGCAGAUGGAUCACCUCCUA
This 726-nucleotide ribosomal RNA is filed under the name Methanomassiliicoccus sp. Its description in RNAcentral is "bacterial SSU rRNA". It matches the Rfam family "Archaeal small subunit ribosomal RNA", at positions 751 to 1478 of the family's 1478-position model. The record is from RNAcentral. Lineage: Archaea; Methanobacteriati; Thermoplasmatota; Thermoplasmata; Methanomassiliicoccales; Methanomassiliicoccaceae.